Molecule: ribosomal RNA, 376 nt
Filed under: Vibrio sp. 03_296
Lineage: Bacteria; Pseudomonadati; Pseudomonadota; Gammaproteobacteria; Vibrionales; Vibrionaceae
Description: bacterial LSU rRNA
Rfam family: Bacterial large subunit ribosomal RNA
Source: RNAcentral
UAAAGCAUGCUGGAGGUAUCAGAAGUGCGAAUGCUGACAUGAGUAACGACAAGGGGGGUGAAAAACCUCCCCGCCGGAAGACCGAAGGGUUCCUGUCCAACGUUAAUCGGGGCAGGGUAAGUCGACCCCUAAGGCGAGGCUGAAAAGCGUAGUCGAUGGGAAACGGGUUAAUAUUCCCGUACUUCUUACAAUUGCGAUGGGGGGACGGAGAAGGCUAGGUGGGCCUGGCGACGGUUGUCCAGGUUCAAGUGCGUAGGCUGAGUGUUUAGGUAAAUCCGGACACUCUUAAGGCUGAGACACGACGUCGAGCUACUACGGUAGUGAAGUCAUUGAUGCCAUGCUUCCAGGAAAAGCCUCUAAGCUUCAGAUUGUAAGG